CUGGUCUGCCUCCAGGUCUACAGGCUUCUCUUUUCUGUCCUUCCUGAGACCUCUGGUCUCCUAAGACCGCUCUUGAUCUGGGGAUUGGCAGACUGGGGAUCAUGGAGGCUGAAGAAAUCUACAUAAACCAGACCAGUAUGCAGGCAGCAGCCGUCAAAGACAAGCAACGGGGGACACCAGCCAAUAGGAAAGGUGUAGAUGACCCCAACUAUGCAAAUAUCCCCGUGACCUUAAGAAAACAGGAUCAUCCAAAGGGCAGUCACUCACCCUCCAAGAGUGAGGCCCGGUCCAGGCCAUCCUCGGACUCUGCCCAGUAUUUGCACAAAGCCUUCACAAGCCUGUACAUUCUUCUCGCUCUGAUUUCCAUCAUUCUGUUGGUCUGGGU
This is an RNA transcript of Myotis davidii, 385 nucleotides long. RefSeq lists it as uncharacterized. NCBI's taxonomy places the organism in Eukaryota, Metazoa, Chordata, Mammalia, Chiroptera, Vespertilionidae. The record is from RefSeq and is a predicted model, not a curated record. The transcript is spliced from 4 exons.